CAGUAGCCACGGUAAUACGGAGGGGGCUAGCGUUGUUCGGAAUUACUGGGCGUAAAGCGCACGUAGGCGGCUUGGUAAGUCAGAUGUGAAAUCCCGGGGCUCAACCCCGGAACUGCAUCCGAUACUGCCAUGCUAGAGGAUUGGAGAGGUAGCUGGAAUUCUUGGUGUAGCAGUGAAAUGCGUGGAGAUCAAGAGGAACACUCGUGGCGAAAGCGAGCUACUGGACAAUAACUGACGCUGAGGCUCGAAGGCCAGGGUAGCGAAAGGGAUUAGAUACCCCUGUAGUCCCUGUCUCUUAUAC
Molecule: ribosomal RNA, 301 nt
Filed under: uncultured bacterium
Lineage: Bacteria
Description: partial 16S ribosomal RNA
Rfam family: Bacterial small subunit ribosomal RNA
Source: RNAcentral